AGAGUUUGAUCCUGGCUCAGGAUGAACGCUAGCGACAGGCCUAACACAUGCAAGUCGAGGGGCAUCGCGGGAGAAGCUUGCUUCUCCUGGCGGCGACCGGCGCACGGGUGCGUAACAGGUGUGCAAUCUGUCCUAUACCGGGGCAUAGCCCAGCGAAAGUUGGAUUAAUUCUCCAUGUGAGCGAGUGCCGCAUGACACACGCUUGAAACGUAAGGGUAUAGGGUGAGCACGCUUCUGAUUAGAUAGUUGGUGGGGUAACGGCUCACCAAGUCGACGAUCAGUAGGGGUUCUGAGAGGAAGGUCCCCCACAUUGGAACUGAGACACGGUCCAAACUCCUACGGGAGGCAGCAGUGAGGAAUAUUGGUCAAUGGGCGAGAGCCUGAACCAGCCAAGUCGCGUGAAGGAUGAAGGCUCUAUGGAUUGUAAACUUCUUUUGUCCGAGGGUAAAAAAGGCCACGUGUGGCUUCUUGCAAGUAUCGGACGAAUAAGCAUCGGCUAACUCCGUGCCAGCAGCCGCGGUAAUACGGAGGAUGCGAGCGUUAUCCGGAUUUAUUGGGUUUAAAGGGUGCGUAGGUGGUUUGUUAAGUUUGUGGUGAAAGCGUGCGGCUCAACCGUACCAAGCCAUGAAAACUGGCGAACUUGAGUGCAAACGAGGUAGGCGGAAUGUGAUGUGUAGCGGUGAAAUGCUUAGAUAUGUCACAGAACCCCGAUUGCGAAGGCAGCUUACCAGCAUGCAACUGACACUGAGGCACGAAAGCGUGGGUAUCAAACAGGAUUAGAUACCCUGGUAGUCCACGCAGUAAACGAUGAAUACUAGCUGUUGGCGAUAGAUUGUCAGCGGUACAGCGA
This 850-nucleotide ribosomal RNA is filed under the name uncultured bacterium. RNAcentral describes it as "bacterial SSU rRNA". It matches the Rfam family "Bacterial small subunit ribosomal RNA", at positions 8 to 854 of the family's 1533-position model. The record is from RNAcentral.